Molecule: ribosomal RNA, 486 nt
Filed under: uncultured bacterium
Lineage: Bacteria
Description: partial 16S ribosomal RNA
Rfam family: Bacterial small subunit ribosomal RNA
Source: RNAcentral
AUUGAACGCUGGCGGCAUGCCUUACACAUGCAAGUCGAACGGCAGCACGGGUGCUUGCCCCUGGUGGCGAGUGGCGAACGGGCGAGUAAUACAUCGGAACAUGUCCUGUAGUGGGGGAUAGCCCGGCGAAAGCCGGAUUAAUACCGCAUACGAUCUACGGAUGAAAGCGGGGGACCUUCGGGCCUCGCGCUAUAGGGUUGGCCGAUGGCUGAUUAGCUAGUUGGUGGGGUAAAGGCCUACCAAGGCGACGAUCAGUAGCUGGUCUGAGAGGACGACCAGCCACACUGGGACUGAGACACGGCCCAGACUCCUACGGGAGGCAGCAGUGGGGAAUUUUGGACAAUGGGGGAAAGCCUGAUCCAGCAAUGCCGCGUGUGUGAAGAAGGCCUUCGGGUUGUAAAGCACUUUUGUCCGGAAAGAAAUCCUUGGCCCUAAUACGGUCGGGGGAUGACGGUACCGGAAGAAUAAGCACCGGCUAACUACGUG